ACUUUACAAUGCGGGAAACCGUGAUAAGGGAACUCCGAGUGUCCGUCAAUGCGGACUGUCCGUAUGUUUAAAAAGCAUGCGAAGAAAGGGCCGGGCAAGACCGGUGCCAGCCGCCGCGGUAAUACCGGCGGCUCGAGUGGUGGCCACGAUUACUGGGCUUAAAGCGUUCGUAGCUGGGUUGUUAAGUCUCUUGGGAAAUCUACCGGCUUAACCGAUAGGCGUCCAAGGGAUACUGGCAAUCUAGGGACCGGGAGAGGUGAGGGGUACUUCAGGGGUAGGAGUGAAAUCCUGUAAUCCUUGGGGGACCACCUGUGGCGUAGGCGCCUCACCAGAACGGCUCCGACAGUGAGGGACGAAAGCUGGGGGAGCAAACCGG
RNAcentral lists this ribosomal RNA (376 nucleotides) under uncultured archaeon. RNAcentral describes it as "bacterial SSU rRNA". It matches the Rfam family "Archaeal small subunit ribosomal RNA", at positions 347 to 727 of the family's 1478-position model. The record is from RNAcentral.